AACGAACCCACUCACGUUCCAACGUUGGC
This 29-nucleotide small RNA is filed under the name Bombyx mori (domestic silkworm). RNAcentral describes it as "ovarian small RNA-10380". Lineage: Eukaryota; Metazoa; Arthropoda; Insecta; Lepidoptera; Bombycidae. The record is from RNAcentral.